This 389-nucleotide ribosomal RNA is filed under the name uncultured bacterium. RNAcentral describes it as "bacterial SSU rRNA". It matches the Rfam family "Bacterial small subunit ribosomal RNA", at positions 28 to 419 of the family's 1533-position model. The record is from RNAcentral.
GACGAACGCUGGCGGCGUGCUUAACACAUGCAAGUCGAGCGGUAAGGCCCUUUCGGGGGUACACGAGCGGCGAACGGGUGAGUAACACGUGGGUGACCUGCCCUCAGCUCUGGGAUAAGCCUGGGAAACCGGGUCUAAUACUGGAUAUGACUCCAUGACGCAUGUUGUGGGGUGGAAAGCCUUGUGCGGCUGAGGAUGGGCCCGCGGCCUAUCAGCUUGUUGGUGGGGUGAGGCCUACCAAGGCGACGACGGGUAGCCGGCCUGAGAGGGCGACUGGCCACACUGGGACUGAGACACGGCCCAGACUCCUACGGGAGGCAGCAGUGGGGAAUCUUGCGCAAUGGGCGAAAGCCUGACGCAGCGACGCCGCGUGAGGGAUGACGGCCUGG